UACGUAGGAGCCAAGCGUUGUCCGGAUUGACUGGGCGUAAAGCGCACGCAGGCGGUGGUGCGCGCGGGGUGUGAAAUCUGGCCGCUUAACGGCCAGGCGCCAUCCCAUACGGCACGACUGGAGGGCUGCAGAGGUCGAUGGAAUUGCCGGUGUAGUGGUGAAAUGCGUAGAUAUCAGGAGGAACACCUGUGGUGUAGACAGCUUACUGGACCAUUUCUGACGCUGAGACACGAAAGCGUGGGUAGCAAACAGG
This 253-nucleotide ribosomal RNA is filed under the name uncultured bacterium. Its description in RNAcentral is "partial 16S ribosomal RNA". It matches the Rfam family "Bacterial small subunit ribosomal RNA", at positions 524 to 776 of the family's 1533-position model. The record is from RNAcentral.